AAAUGCAUAGAUAUUACACAGAACACCGAUUGCGAAGGCAGCUUACCAAACCAGCACUGACGCUGAAGCACGAAAGCAUGGGGAGCGAACAGGAUUAGAUACCCUGGUAGUCCACGCCGUAAACUUUGCUCACUCGCUGUUGGCGAUAGACAGUCAGCGGCCAAGGGGAACCGAUAAGUGAGCCACCUGGGGAGUACGGCCGCAAGGUUGAAACUCAAAGGAAUUGACGGGGGCCCGCACAAGCGGUGGAACAUGUGGUUUAAUUCGAUGAUACGCGAGGAACCUUACCUGGGCUUAAAUGUGAAGUGCAUUGAUUGGAAACAAUCAUUUCCUUCGGGACCCUUUACAAGGUGCUGCAUGGUAGUCGUCAGCUCGUGCCGUGAGGUGUCGGGUUAAGUCCCAUGACGAGCGCAACCCCUAUUGUUAGUUACCAGCGCGUAAAGGCGGGGACUCUAGCGAAACUGCCGGUGUAAACCGCGAGGAAGGUGGGGAUGACGUCAAAUCAGCACGGCCCUUAUGUCCAGGGCUACACACGUGUUACAAUGGCCGGUACAGCGGGCAGCUAGGCAGCGAUGUCAUGCUAAUCCCGAAAGCCGGUCCCAGUUCGGAUUGGAGUCUGCAACCGGACUCCAUGAAGGUGGAAUCGCUAGUAAUCGCGCAUCAGCCAUGGCGCGGUGAAUACGUUCCCGGGCCUUGUACACACCGCCCGUCAAGCCAU
This 718-nucleotide ribosomal RNA is filed under the name uncultured organism. Its description in RNAcentral is "bacterial SSU rRNA". It matches the Rfam family "Bacterial small subunit ribosomal RNA", at positions 684 to 1405 of the family's 1533-position model. The record is from RNAcentral.